RNAcentral lists this transfer RNA (64 nucleotides) under Pimpla luctuosa. RNAcentral describes it as "tRNA-Val". Lineage: Eukaryota; Metazoa; Arthropoda; Insecta; Hymenoptera; Ichneumonidae. The record is from RNAcentral.
UUAAUUUUAGUUUAUUAAAAUAUAUUAUUUACAAUAAUAAGAAAUAAUUAAGUUAUAAAUUAAA